This 1308-nucleotide long non-coding RNA is filed under the name Nicotiana benthamiana. Its description in RNAcentral is "long non-coding RNA (NBEN_LNC028814)". Lineage: Eukaryota; Viridiplantae; Streptophyta; Magnoliopsida; Solanales; Solanaceae. The record is from RNAcentral.
CCUGCAUUAAUAUAGUCCCUCAUCCAUUUCUUUUUCCUUGUACAUUUCAGCAUUAGUUUUCCCAUUAUUUGGUAAAAACAACGCUAAUGUUUUAUACAAAGCAAUGCAAAAACCAAAUAUCCAAUCAAAGCUGAUCACGUCUCACCAUAUUUUGCAUAGUCCAACAGCUAAAGCCGUGCAAUAUGACAACACAUGGAAAAGGGAAACCAGCAAAGUAAACAAAACCACCAGUGACUUGAGAGCAGACAUACUCCUCUAAAAGGAAAUACAAUUUUCUAAGCUUUAUAAACGAUGUGUUCUCAUAACCGAAUAUACCCUCAAAAUUCGACUAUGUUAAGCCUACAACAGAAUCAUUGCCCUCCAUGUCGUGCCAGUUUAACACCUGACCGCAUGUGGCAUCUGCAUUCUGCAUUCUCACAUAAAUCUUAUAAGACAAUACGAGGAUGAAAAAGCUGAGCCAUGUCAGCUGUAUAUGCCAAAAAACACUUACUCAACUAUUACCAAUCUUUUUAGCAUCUUUAAGCUGCUACUGCUUCCUUCUUAACGCCCUUCUUCUCUGUUUUAAGAGGGGGUGCCACUUCAGGUUUCUCAAUUCCUUGUAUAUCCGUAAUCCUCAAUUUUGUUAAUUCAUAAAAAUGAAUAGGAAACGAGGAUGAGAAGUAACAGCGUGUAUAAAACAUAGCUGUGUUUCAGGCAGUAUGUUCAUUGUGGAUGAAUCAAUGACUAACCUGUCGAUGUCCUCGUGUUCGUCGAUAAUUCUUUCGUCUCUUCUUCUUGAAUAUAAGUACUUUAGCAUCUAAUGCCUGGACCAAGAGAAGGGCAGAUUAAAUUUCCUAAUAUAUCUGGAGGAAUGAAAUAAGAUGUGUGCGUGCAUAUAUGAAGCAAGUUAUGCAAACAUCCUAGCUCAAUGCCUGAAGAAGUGAACCUAGUUCCACAUCUAUGGCAUUCCUCAAAUAAGCUCAGCAAGAUCCGAACAGGAAAAGAGGAUGAGAAGUAACGGCUGGAGAGGCCAGAAAUAUAAAUUCCAUUAAUAUGGGAAAUAAGCUCAACCAAUUCGAUGGGUUAAAAAAACAUAGCUGUGUUUCAGGCAAUAUGUUCACAGUUGAUGAACCAAAGACCUGUCGAUGCCCUCGUGUUCGCCGAUAAUUCUUCUCUCUUCUUCUUGAAUAUAAGUACUUUAGCAUCUAAUGCCUGGACCAAGAGAAGGACAGAUAAAAUUUCCUAAUCUAUCUGGAAUGAAAUAAGAUGUGUAUGUGCGCGCGUGCAGAUGAAGCAAGUUAUGCAAACAUUCAAGCAAAGCCUGAAGAA